This is a non-coding RNA of Physcomitrium patens, 1717 nucleotides long. Lineage: Eukaryota; Viridiplantae; Streptophyta; Bryopsida; Funariales; Funariaceae. The record is from RefSeq and is a predicted model, not a curated record.
AUCACAAAUAGGUAAAAACGUGGGUAGUAGUAUUCUUCGAAACCUAAGUUGCUAGUGAAGAUUUAGGGUUUGGGGCAUUCUUUGCAACGCGGAGUAGGCUCCCUUCCCCUGUUUUCUCUUACUGGAGGCUUCUGCUGAACGUUGCAAGAUAGAAUUGUACUGCUCCGCCAUAGCCAGCUGCUUAGCAGUCAGCCAUGCUUGGGCUGGUCGCGCGGAGGGGCCGCCAAAAAUCCUCUCUCGCACGCGCCCUAAUCGAACAUGGCGGUGCUGUGCCGCGGCUGGUGUCGAAUUCGUUCGAAGAAGCUCCAAGAGCUGGUCGACAUUGGACGAGCCUCGCGGGGCUGUACGAGAUUGUGAAAUUGCGAGGGGCUGCGGGCUUUUUGGACGCGCGGAAGGUGAGGGAUGGCGCUCGCGAGUUCGUUCAUGAGGCGAGGUGCGGUGGACGGAGAACUUUCACAGAGUCUCGCAAGGCUAAUGUUGCCGUGGAGGCUGCGGCUGUCCCUGGUGCUUCAUCAUCGAAGCUGAAUUUUGUGGCGUGGUACUUGCGGAACCUUGACCGGCGACCGCUCUUGACCAAGAGCUUGACGGCUGGAACUAUCUACACCACCUCUGAUCUUUGCUCGCAGGGUAUCUCUGCACUUACUGCAGGCGAUGGAGAGCCAGUAGCUUGGGAUGCUAUCAGGAGUGCACGAAUGCUCGCCGUAGGCUUAUUCAUGUCUGGGCCUUUGUUGCACUUGUGGUUUGGUCGUAUUGGCAAGGUGAUUCCUGGUCGCGACAUAAUUAGCACGCUGAAAAAGCUUGUGCUAGGACAAGUGUUUUUUGGACCUGCUUUCUGUGCUGCAUUUUUUGUUAUCAACUCAUACGCUCAAGGCGAGAGAGGGGCACAAAUAACUACUCGGUUGCAGCGAGAUUUGAUACCCUGUUUAAAAAACGGGUUGAUAUACUGGCCUGCAUGUGACUUCAUCACUUAUCGAUAUGUUCCCAUCCCUCUUCAGAUUUCCUUUCGAUGAGCUUGCGGCUGCUCAUAACGUGAUGUUAUGCUCCGAUUGUAACAUUACGGAUUACAAUCAUUGUCCUCUGCUUGUUCACCCUAUUACAUCCGGGGCACUCGAGGGUUAAAAUGUCAUGCAUGAAAUGUCAGAGUAAUAACGUGUACACUAUGUCUUACCGAGACGAAAGGCAGACGACGAUUGUCGCGAAUUACAGAUUGCAUUAAAGUCGUAUGAUGGAUACGCCUCCUUGCUCUCGAAGUCGCGACUGUUCAUAGCUGGCGCUGGUAGCAGUUAGCGACGUGAUCCUCGUUCGUCGCGAUUUCCGCGCCGCUUGUGAUGAUCGUAUUGGCGAUCUCGAUGUGACCUUUGCUGGAGGAGGGGGGGUUAAUGCUACGGUGUUUGCUCCCCCCCUUCAUUUUUCGCUGCUCCUACAUCUAUGCUGAGUGUCACGAAGACCACAUCUGUCUCACGUCCAGUCACAGCAGGAAAGGGCGGCGUCCCGUCUUCCUGGUCACGCACAUUAACACCACUUUCUUCGAGUCAAUCUUAGUCUGUACGAACCUUCAUUACGCCGACGUGCCCUUCCGCAGCAACACUGCCUAACAGCUGAUCCAUUGCUCUCGUUUCGAAAUCCUCCGCGAAUCUUCCUAUGACAAAUUUUCGACUACUAACGUCCUUUGUAUUUCUGGACACAGUGCUGCAAAUAAAGCGUACGCAUUACGAGA